RNAcentral lists this unclassified non-coding RNA (290 nucleotides) under fungal sp. Its description in RNAcentral is "partial internal transcribed spacer region". The stretch from base 1 to 46 matches the Rfam family "Eukaryotic small subunit ribosomal RNA", at positions 1786 to 1831 of the family's 1831-position model. The record is from RNAcentral. Lineage: Eukaryota; Fungi.
AAGUCGUAACAAGGUUUCCGUAGGUGAACCUGCGGAAGGAUCAUUAACAAAGUUUAAAAUUAUAUUUCUUUUGAAAGUUAUAGCAAUAUUUCUUUCAAAAGGUCAUAACAACAAGUAACCUGGGGUACUUUAGAGUAGAGGCAUACUUCGGUGCGUCUUUACUUUAGAGCCCUUCUAAUAAUCCCCUUUUUUACCAUUUUACCCCUUUAAACUAUUAAGACUGAUAUGACAUGAUUUAAUGUCACAAUUAAAUCUGAAAACAACUCUUAACAAUGGAUAUCUAGGUUCUG